Molecule: ribosomal RNA, 245 nt
Filed under: uncultured bacterium
Lineage: Bacteria
Description: partial 16S ribosomal RNA
Rfam family: Bacterial small subunit ribosomal RNA
Source: RNAcentral
UACGGAGGUUGCAAGCGUUGUUCGGAAUAACUGGGCGUAAAGGGAGCGCAGGCGGUUGGGUUAGUCUAAAGUGAAAGCCCGGAGCUUAACUCCGGAAGUGCUUUGGAUACUGCCUAACUUGAGUUCGUGAGAGGAAAGCGGAAUUCCAGGUGUAGCGGUGAAAUGCGUAGAUAUCUGGAGGAACACCGGUGGCGAAGGCGGCUUUCUGGCGCGAUACUGACGCUGAGGCUCGAAAGCGUGGGGAG